This 1548-nucleotide ribosomal RNA is filed under the name Zingiber officinale. RNAcentral describes it as "bacterial SSU rRNA". It matches the Rfam family "Eukaryotic small subunit ribosomal RNA", at positions 1 to 1450 of the family's 1831-position model. Lineage: Eukaryota; Viridiplantae; Streptophyta; Magnoliopsida; Zingiberales; Zingiberaceae. The record is from RNAcentral.
GCCUGGUUGAUCCUGCCAGUAGUCAUAUGCUUGUCUCAAAGAUUAAACCAUGCAUAUGUAAAUAUGAAUUGAUUCAGAUUGUGAAACUGCGAAUGACUCAUUAAAUCAGAUAUGAUUUGUUUGAUGGUAUACCCCUACUCGGAUAACCGUAGUAAUUCUAGAGCUAAUAUGUGCAACAAACCCCGACCUUUGGGAGGGAUGCAUUUAUUAGAUAAAAGGUUGAUGCGGGUUUUGCUCAUUGUGUUGAUGAUUCAUGGUAACUCGACGGAUCACACCGGUCCUCGUGCUAGCGAUGCAUCAUUCAAAUUUCUGCCCUAUCAACUUUCGAUGGUAGGAUAGUUGUCUACCAUGGUGGUGAUGGGUAAUGGAGAAUUAGGGUUCAAUUCUGGAGAGGGAGUCUGAGAAACGACUACCACAUCCAAGGAAGGCAGCAGACGCGCAAAUUACCCAAUCCUAACACGGGGAGGUAGUGACAAUAAAUAACAAUAUCAGGCUCUUUGAGUUUGGUAAUUGGAAUGAGUACAAUCUAAAUCCCUUAACGAGGAUCCAUUGGAGGGCAAGUCUGGUGCCAGCAGCUGCGGUAAUUCCAGCUCCAAUAGCGUAUAUUUAAGUUGUUGCAGUUAAAAAGCUCGUAGUUGGACCUUGGGUUGAGUCGAUCGGUCCGCCUUGUUGUAUGCAUCGGUUGUCUCGUCCCUUCUGCCAAUGAUGAGUGUCUAGCCUUAGUUGGUCGGGUCGUGCCUGUGGCGCUGAUACUUUGAAGAAAUUAGAGUGCUCAAAGGAAGCUCACGCUCUGAAUACAUUAGCAUGAAAUAACAUCACAGGAUUUUGUUCCUAUUGUGUUGGCCUUGGGGAUUAGAGUAAUGAUUAAGAGGGACAGUCGGGGGCAUUCGUAUUUCAUAGUCAGAGGUGAAAUUCUUGGAUUUAUGAAAGACGAACCACUGCGAAAGCAUUUGCCAAGGAUGUUUUCAUUAAUCAAGAACAAAAGUUAGGGGCUCGAAAACAAUAAGAUACCGUCCUAAUCUCAAACAUAAACGAUGCCGACCAGGGAUCGACGGAUGUUGCUCUUAGGACUCCGCCGACACCUUAUGAGAAAUCAAAGUCUUUGGGUUUCAGGGGAAGUAUGGUCGCAAGGCUGAAACUUAAAGGAAUUGACGGAAGGACGCCACUAGGAGUGGAGCCUACGGCUUAAUUUGACUCAACACGGGGAAACUUACUAGGUCUAGACAUAGCAAGGAUUGAUAGAUUGAGAGCUCUUCCAUGGAAAUAAGUACAUAUGUAUAAAAAAUUAAUUUGAGAGAUAAAAACUCUCAAACAGCAUGACAAACCAUACAAACAUCAUGAAUUUUAAUCCUCAACAGUUGAGGUAAACUCACCAAGCAACCUACUCUCUGUUAGGGUGUAUGCUAAAAGCCUAGCUUUUGGUAUAAACAUUUAUCUAGUAAUAAGAAUCACAUUGGUCAAAUGUCUACAUUUAUGAUAAAUGUAGUUGUUCGAUUAAUUUAUAUUGUAGAUAACAUGGUGUGUGAUGUCACACGCAGAGGAUCAUGU